Molecule: ribosomal RNA, 756 nt
Filed under: uncultured bacterium
Lineage: Bacteria
Description: bacterial SSU rRNA
Rfam family: Bacterial small subunit ribosomal RNA
Source: RNAcentral
AGAGUUUGAUCAUGGCUCAGAAUCAACGCUGGCGGCGUGCCUAACACAUGCAAGUCGCACGAGAAAGGGUAGCAAUACCUGAGUACAGUGGCGCACGGGUGAGUAACACGUGAAUCAUCUACCUUCGAGUGGGGAAUAACUGGGAGAAAUCUCAGCUAAUACCGCAUAAUACCUACGGGUCAAAGCAGCAAUGCGCUUGAAGAGGAGUUCGCGGCAGAUUAGUUAGUUGGCGGGGUAAUGGCCCACCAAGACGAUGAUCUGUAUCCGGCCUGAGAGGGCGCACGGACACACUGGAACUGAAACACGGUCCAGACUCCUACGGGAGGCAGCAGUGGGGAAUUUUGCGCAAUGGGGGAAACCCUGACGCAGCAACGCCGCGUGGAGGAUGAAAUCCCUUGGGAUGUAAACUCCUUUCGAUUGGGAAGAUUAUGACGGUACCAAUAGAAGAAGCCCCGGCUAACUUCGUGCCAGCAGCCGCGGUAAUACGAGGGGGGCAAGCGUUGUUCGGAAUUAUUGGGCGUAAAGGGCGCGUAGGCGGUUUGACAAGUCUUAUGUGAAAUCUCUGGGCUCAACCCAGAGUCUGCAUGGGAAACUGUCGGGCUUGAGUAUGGGAGAGGUGAGUGGAAUUUCCGGUGUAGCGGUGAAAUGCGUAGAUAUCGGAAGGAACACCUGUGGCGAAAGCGGCUCACUGGACCAUAACUGACGCUGAGGCGCGAAAGCUAGGGGAGCAAACAGGAUUAGAUACCCUAGUAGUCC